AGUGAACGCUGGCGGUAGGCCUAACACAUGCAAGUCGAACGGCAGCACAGUAAGAGCUUGCUCUUACGGGUGGCGAGUGGCGGACGGGUGAGGAAUACAUCGGAAUCUACUUUUUCGUGGGGGAUAACGUAGGGAAACUUACGCUAAUACCGCAUACGACCUACGGGUGAAAGCAGGGGAUCUUCGGACCUUGCGCGAUUGAAUGAGCCGAUGUCGGAUUAGCUAGUUGGCGGGGUAAAGGCCCACCAAGGCGACGAUCCGUAGCUGGUCUGAGAGGAUGAUCGGCCACCUUGGAACUGAGACACGGUCCAGACUCCUACGGGAGGCAGCAGUGGGGAAUAUUGGACAAUGGGCGCAAGCCUGAUCCAGUCAUACCGCGUGGGUGAAGAAGGCCUUCGGGUUGUAAAGCCCUUCUGUGGGGAAAGAAAAGCAGCAGGUUAAGACCCCGCUGUUCUGACGGUACCCAAAGAAGAAGCACCGGCUAACUUCGUG
RNAcentral lists this ribosomal RNA (492 nucleotides) under uncultured bacterium. RNAcentral describes it as "partial 16S ribosomal RNA". It matches the Rfam family "Bacterial small subunit ribosomal RNA", at positions 29 to 507 of the family's 1533-position model. The record is from RNAcentral.